Molecule: ribosomal RNA, 437 nt
Filed under: uncultured bacterium
Lineage: Bacteria
Description: partial 16S ribosomal RNA
Rfam family: Bacterial small subunit ribosomal RNA
Source: RNAcentral
ACAAUGGGGGAAACCCUGAUGGAGCGACGCCGCGUGGGUGAUGAAGGUCCUCGGAUCGUAAAGCCCUUUCAGCAGGGACGAAGGGAUUGGUUGCGAAUAGUCUCCGGUUCAAGACGGUACCUGCAGAAGAAGCUCCGGCUAACUCCGUACCAGCAGCCGCGGUAAGACGGAGGGAGCAAGCGUUGUGCGGAUUUACUGGGCGUAAAGGGCGUCUAGGCGGAUGGUCAAGUCAGGUGUGAAAUCCUUCGGCUCAACCGGAGAACUGCACUUGAAACUGACUGUCUUGAGUACGGAAGAGGAAAGCGGAAUUCCUGGUGUAGCGGUGGAAUGCGUAGAUAUCAGGAAGAACAUCGGUGGCGAAGGCGGCUUUCUGGUCCGAUACUGACGCUAAAGCGCGAAAGUGUGGGGAGCAAACAGGAUUAGAUACCCUGGUAGUC